This 120-nucleotide ribosomal RNA is filed under the name Salmonella enterica. RNAcentral describes it as "partial 23S ribosomal RNA". It matches the Rfam family "Bacterial large subunit ribosomal RNA", at positions 566 to 689 of the family's 2925-position model. The record is from RNAcentral. Lineage: Bacteria; Pseudomonadati; Pseudomonadota; Gammaproteobacteria; Enterobacterales; Enterobacteriaceae.
ACAAGCGGUGAAUGCUUUGGGGUGGGGUGACUGCGUACCUUUUGUAUAAUGGGUCAGCGACUUAUAUUCUGUAGCAAGGUUAACCGAAUAGGGGAGCCGGAGGGAAACCGAGUCUUAAUU